GCUUAUCACCAUUCCAGAUUGAAUAUACCCGAUCUCAGAAGUCAAGCAAUCUCGGGCUUGGUUAGUACUUGGAUGGGUGACCGCUUGGGAAUAACAAGUGUGAUAAGCA
Non-coding RNA from Ciona savignyi (Pacific transparent sea squirt), 109 nucleotides. The record is from Rfam. Lineage: Eukaryota; Metazoa; Chordata; Ascidiacea; Phlebobranchia; Cionidae.